Non-coding RNA from Podarcis lilfordi (Lilford's wall lizard), 75 nucleotides. NCBI's taxonomy places the organism in Eukaryota, Metazoa, Chordata, Lepidosauria, Squamata, Lacertidae. The record is from the annotation of a GenBank genome assembly.
GUCACUGGUAGCUCGGUUGGUUACAGCGUGGUGCUGAUAAUGCCAAGGUUGCAGGUUCGAUCCCUGUAUGGGACA